RNAcentral lists this ribosomal RNA (1234 nucleotides) under human gut metagenome. RNAcentral describes it as "bacterial LSU rRNA". It matches the Rfam family "Bacterial large subunit ribosomal RNA", at positions 1674 to 2925 of the family's 2925-position model. The record is from RNAcentral.
GAGAAUCCUAAGGCCGACGGGAGAAGUAUUGUUAAGGAACUCGGCAAAAUGACUCCGUAACUUCGGGAGAAGGAGUGCCAUGAGAGUGGCCGCAGAGAAAUGGCCCAAGCAACUGUUUAGCAAAAACACAGGUCUAUGCGAAACCGAAAGGUGAAGUAUAUGGGCUGACGCCUGCCCGGUGCUGGAAGGUUAAGAGGAGAGGUUAGCUUCGGCGAAGCUUUGAAUUUAAGCCCCAGUAAACGGCGGCCGUAACUAUAACGGUCCUAAGGUAGCGAAAUUCCUUGUCGGGUAAGUUCCGACCCGCACGAAAGGCGUAAUGAUUUGAGCACUGUCUCGACAAUGCAUCCGGUGAAAUUGAAGUACCAGUGAAGAUGCUGGUUACCCGCGCCAGGACGGAAAGACCCCAUGGAGCUUUACUCCAGUUUGAUACUGGGAUUCGGUACUGCAUGUACAGGAUAGGUGGGAGACGAAGAAGGAUGGACGCCAGUCUGUCCGGAGUCGCUGUUGGGAUACCACCCCUGUAGUACUGGGUUUCUAACCAGUUGCCAUGAUCUGGCAAUGGGACAAUGUCAGGCGGGGAGUUUGACUGGGGCGGUCGCCUCCGAAAGGGUAUCGGAGGCGCUCAAAGGUUCCCUCAGAAUGGUUGGAAACCAUUUGAAGAGUGCAAAGGCAGAAGGGAGCUUGACUGCGACACCGACGGGUGGAGCAGGUACGAAAGUAGGACUUAGUGAUCCGGUGGUAUAAAGUGGGAUUGCCAUCGCUCAACGGAUAAAAGCUACCCUGGGGAUAACAGGCUUAUCACUCCCAAGAGUUCACAUCGACGGAGUGGUUUGGCACCUCGAUGUCGGCUCAUCGCAUCCUGGGGCUGUAGCAGGUCCCAAGGGUUGGGCUGUUCGCCCAUUAAAGCGGUACGCGAGCUGGGUUCAGAACGUCGUGAGACAGUUCGGUCCCUAUCCGGCGCGGGCGGAGGAUAUUUGAGAGGAGCUGUCCUUAGUACGAGAGGACCGGGAUGGACGGACCACUGGUGUAUCUGUUGUCGACCAACGGCAUGGCAGAGUAGCCAAGUCUGGAAGGGAUAAACGCUGAAGGCAUCUAAGCGUGAAGCCCCCCUCAAGAUGAGAUAUCCCUCCUUCGGGAGUAAGACCCCUUGAAGACUACAAGGUAGAUAGGGCAGAGGUGGAAGCAUGGCAACAUGUGGAGCUGACUGUUACUAAUAGGUCGAGGGCUUAAUCUG